Molecule: ribosomal RNA, 460 nt
Filed under: uncultured bacterium
Lineage: Bacteria
Description: partial 16S ribosomal RNA
Rfam family: Bacterial small subunit ribosomal RNA
Source: RNAcentral
CCUACGGGUGGCUGCAGUGAGGAAUAUUGGUCAAUGGGCGCGAGCCUGAACCAGCCAAGUAGCGUGAAGGAUGACUGUUCUAUGGGUCGUAAACCUCUUUUAUAAGGGAAUAAAGUGUGGGACGUGUCCUUUUUUGUAUGUACCUUAUGAAUAAGGAUCGGCUAACUCCGUGCCAGCAGCCGCGGUAAUACGGAGGAUCCGAGCGUUAUCCGGAUUUAUUGGGUUUAAAGGGUGCGUAGACGGCCUUUUAAGUCAGCGGUGAAAGUCUGUGGCUCAACCAUAAAAUUGCAGUUGAAACUGGGGGGCUUGAGUAUGUUUGAGGCAGGCGGAAUGCGUGGUGUAGCGGUGAAAUGCUUAGAUAUCACGCAGAACCCCGAUUGCGAAGGCAGCCUGCCAAGCUAUGACUGACGCUGAUGCACGAAAGCGUGGGGAUCAAACAGGAUUAGAUACCCUAGUAGUC